RNAcentral lists this ribosomal RNA (447 nucleotides) under Allosepsis sp. 9 LZ-2013. RNAcentral describes it as "partial 16S ribosomal RNA". It matches the Rfam family "Bacterial large subunit ribosomal RNA", at positions 1859 to 2561 of the family's 2925-position model. Lineage: Eukaryota; Metazoa; Arthropoda; Insecta; Diptera; Sepsidae. The record is from RNAcentral.
CUGCCCACUGAAUAAUUUUAAAUGGCCGCAGUAUCCUAACUGUGCAAAGGUAGCAUAAUCAUUAGUCUUUUAAUUGAAGGCUGGUAUGAAUGGUUGGACGAGGUAUUAACUGUUUCAAAUAAAUUUAUAAUUGAAUUUUAUUUUUUAGUCAAAAAGCUAAAAUUUUAUUAAAAGACGAGAAGACCCUAUAAAUCUUUACUUUUAAAUUUAUUUUAAUUAUUAAGAUGAAUUUUAUUAUAAUAAAAUUAAAAGUUUUAUUGGGGUGAUAUUAAAAUUUAAUGAACUUUUAAUUUGUAAUGACAUUAAUUAAUGAAUAGUUGAUCCGUUAUUAACGAUUAAAAAUUUAAGUUACUUUAGGGAUAACAGCGUAAUUUUUUUGGAGAGUUCUUAUCGAUAAAAAAGAUUGCGACCUCGAUGUUGGAUUAAGAAAAAUUUUAGGUGUAGUCG